This 427-nucleotide ribosomal RNA is filed under the name uncultured archaeon. Its description in RNAcentral is "bacterial SSU rRNA". It matches the Rfam family "Archaeal small subunit ribosomal RNA", at positions 147 to 575 of the family's 1478-position model. The record is from RNAcentral.
UAAUACCGGAUAGAUCAAAGAAACUGGAAUGUUCUUUGGUCCAAAACUCUGGUGCCCAAGGAUAGGUCUGUGGCCUAUCAGGUAGUAGUGGGUGUAGCGUACCUACUAGCCUACGACGGGUAAGGGUUGUGAGAGCAAAGUCCCUGAGAUGGAUUCUGAGACAUGAAUCCAGGCCCUACGGGGUGCAGCAGGCGCGAAAACUUUACACUGCGGGAAACCGCGAUAAGGGGACCCCGAGUGCCAGCACCUAGUGCUGGCUGUCCAGCUGUCCAAAUAACAGUUGUAAGCAAGGGCCGGGCAAGACCGGUGCCAGCCGCCGCGGUAACACCGGCGGCCCGAGUGGUAGCCGUUAUUAUUGGGUUUAAAGGGUCCGUAGCCGGCCUAUUAAGUCUCUUGGGAAAUCUGGCGGCUCAAUCGUCAGGCGUCC